Molecule: ribosomal RNA, 312 nt
Filed under: uncultured bacterium
Lineage: Bacteria
Description: bacterial SSU rRNA
Rfam family: Bacterial small subunit ribosomal RNA
Source: RNAcentral
GAUAAACGCUGACAGAAUGCUUAACACAUGCAAGUCUAUGAUGGUUAGCUAAGCCUAGCUUAGAAGAAGUCAUGGCGGACGGGUGAGUAACGUGUAAAGAACUUGCCCUCUAGACUGGGAUAACAGAUAGAAAUGUCUGAUAAUACCGGAUAUUAUUGUUACAUGGCAUCAUGUAGGAAUGAAAGGAUAAGAUUGCUAGAGGAGAGCUUUGCAUCCUAUUAGCUAGUUGGUGAGGUAAAGGCUCACCAAGCCGACGAUCUUUAGCUGGUCUGAGAGGAUGAUCAGCCACACUGGGACUGAGACACGGCCCAG